Nanorana parkeri is the source of this 180-nucleotide long non-coding RNA. RefSeq lists it as uncharacterized. The transcript has 3 exons. Lineage: Eukaryota; Metazoa; Chordata; Amphibia; Anura; Dicroglossidae. The record is from RefSeq and is a predicted model, not a curated record.
GGAUGAUGAUUUCCAAAAAACUUUAAGAAAGUUCCUGAUGGAUGUGGUAACGAGAACCCAGAACUGCCACUCUGGUAUGACAUGUAAGAAGAUGGCUGAAAAGCUGAAGGUGUGCGUGGCGUAUGUGCAAAAUCAACACUACAUCUCAAAUCCUUAUGAGCUGUGCAACCAACUCAAGAC